This 506-nucleotide ribosomal RNA is filed under the name Botrytis aclada. RNAcentral describes it as "eukaryotic LSU rRNA". The stretch from base 180 to 333 matches the Rfam family "5.8S ribosomal RNA". The record is from RNAcentral. Lineage: Eukaryota; Fungi; Ascomycota; Leotiomycetes; Helotiales; Sclerotiniaceae.
UUUCCGUAGGUGAACCUGCGGAAGGAUCAUUACAGAGUUCAUGCCCGAAAGGGUAGACCUCCCACCCUUGUGUAUUAUUACUUUGUUGCUUUGGCGAGCUGCCUUCGGGCCUUGCAUGCUCGCCAGAGAAAACCAAAACUCUUUUUAUUAAUGUCGUCUGAGUACUAUAUAAUAGUUAAAACUUUCAACAACGGAUCUCUUGGUUCUGGCAUCGAUGAAGAACGCAGCGAAAUGCGAUAAGUAAUGUGAAUUGCAGAAUUCAGUGAAUCAUCGAAUCUUUGAACGCACAUUGCGCCCCUUGGUAUUCCGGGGGGCAUGCCUGUUCGAGCGUCAUUUCAACCCUCAAGCUUAGCUUGGUAUUGAGUCUAUGUCAGUAAUGGCAGGCUCUAAAAUCAGUGGCGGCGCCGCUGGGUCCUGAACGUAGUAAUAUCUCUCGUUACAGGUUCUCGGUGUGCUUCUGCCAAAACCCAAAUUUUUCUAUGGUUGACCUCGGAUCAGGUAGGGAU